This is a long non-coding RNA of Pecten maximus, 1022 nucleotides long. RefSeq lists it as uncharacterized. The record is from RefSeq and is a predicted model, not a curated record. Lineage: Eukaryota; Metazoa; Mollusca; Bivalvia; Pectinida; Pectinidae. The transcript has 2 exons.
AUGGGAAUUUUGAUAGAAACACAACCGUUUCCAACGAACUAGAGGGAAACGUCGUCGCCAAGUACAUCCGGGUUAUAUCCGUCUCCGGACAUUCCUAUAGAUCGAUGAGACUUGAGGUACAAGGAUGCCCCGUCAGGAAGAUAUCCAAUGCGUGUCACAGAUGGGAAGCCAGACAAGGAUCUACAGGAGACGUUUACACAGUUCUCGUGGACACGGACGCAUCAAAUCAAGGAAUAUGUGGCCUGAAGUGUUUCAGACUAUCAGAAUGUGACAGCUUCCUGUUUGAUGUCGGCUCCAAACGCUGUAGAUUACUGAAGACGACUCCUGAUACGUCAUAUGUUACAGUGGAUCUGGCCGGAGUUUGGUAUUUUACGAUAAUAACACAGUAAAUACAUUUAUUCAACUGCUAGUUGACAUCAUUUCAGUCAACAAGGAUUGGAAUUUCUUUGGUAUGUUUACAAUUCACAUGUAAGAUGUUCCUAUUUGAUAUAAUGAAUGGUGCACUUGAGAAUUUAAGUAAUUAAGAUGUUUGUCACAUGUCUUAGAAUCCUUGUUAUCCUUUCUAUUGUCACAUGUCCUAGAAUCCUUGUUAUCCUUUCUAUUGUCACAUGUCCUAGAAUCCUUGUUAUCCUUUCUAUUGUCACAUGUCCUGACUCCUUGUUAUCCUUUCUAUUGUCACAUGUCCUAGAAUCCUUGUUAUCCUUUCUAUUGUCACAUGUCCUAGAAUCCUUGUUAUCCUUUCUAUUGUCACAUGUCCUAGAAUCCUUGUUAUCCUUUCUAUUGUCACAUGUCCUAGAAUCCUUGUUAUCCUUUCUAUUGUCACAUGUCCUAGAAUCCUUGUUAUCCUUUCUAUUGUCACAUGUCCUAGAAUCCUUGUUAUCCUUUCUAUUGUCACAUGUCCUAGAAUCCUUGUUAUCCUUUCUAUUGUCACAUGUCAUAGAAUCCUUGUUAUCCUUUCUAAUGUCACAUAGUUUGCUGUAAUAUUUCAAAACCGCAUAUUAAAGAGUUAUUCGAAAAUCUGA